AUAAGAGGUCCCGCCUGCCCUGUGACUUAAAGUUUAACGGCCGCGGUAUUUUGACCGUGCAAAGGUAGCGCAAUCACUUGUCUUUUAAAUGAAGACCUGUAUGAAUGGCAUCACGAGGGCUUAGCUGUCUCCUUUUUCAAGUCAAUGAAAUUGAUCUCCCCGUGCAGAAGCGGGGAUAAUAAUAUAAGACGAGAAGACCCUAUGGAGCUUUAGACCUAAUGCAGUCCACGAAUAAUACUUUUGAUGAAGAAAGAAAAGCUCAAUGGCUCCUGCACGCCUGUCUUUGGUUGGGGCGACCGCGGGGAAAAAUAAAACCCCCAUGAGGAUUGAGAGUUCUACUCCUAAAACCAAGAGCCACAGCUCUAAGUAACAGAAAUUCUGACCUAAAUGAUCCGGGAAACCGAUCAACGAACCGAGUUACCCUAGGGAUAACAGCGCAAUCCCCUUCCAGAGCCCAUAUCGACAAGGGGGUUUACGACCUCGAUGUUGGAUCAGGACAUCCUAAUGGUGCAGCCGCUAUUAAGGGUUCGUUUGUUCAACGAUUAAAGUCC
This 551-nucleotide ribosomal RNA is filed under the name Zeus faber (John dory). RNAcentral's name for it is "partial 16S ribosomal RNA". It matches the Rfam family "Bacterial large subunit ribosomal RNA", at positions 1845 to 2596 of the family's 2925-position model. The record is from RNAcentral. Lineage: Eukaryota; Metazoa; Chordata; Actinopteri; Zeiformes; Zeidae.